UGAGGAAUAUUGGUCAAUGGGCGAGAGCCUGAACCAGCCAUGCCGCGUGCAGGAAGACGGCCCUAUGGGUUGUAAACUGCUUUUGUUUGGGAAUAAAAGGCGCUACGUGUAGUGCACUGAAGGUACCAGAUGAAUAAGCAUCGGCUAACUCCGUGCCAGCAGCCGCGGUAAUACGGAGGAUGCGAGCGUUAUCCGGAUUUAUUAGGUUUAAAGGGUGUGUAGGCGGAAGACUAAGUCAGUGGUGAAAUCCCUCAGCUUAACUGGGGAACUGCCAUAGAUACUGGUUUUCUUGAGUACAGUUGAAGUAGGCGGAAUGUGUAAUGUAGCGGUGAAAUGCUUAGAUAUUACACAGAACACCGAUUGCGAAGGCAGCUUGCUAAGCUGUUACUGACGCUGAUGC
This 400-nucleotide ribosomal RNA is filed under the name uncultured bacterium. RNAcentral's name for it is "bacterial SSU rRNA". It matches the Rfam family "Bacterial small subunit ribosomal RNA", at positions 355 to 752 of the family's 1533-position model. The record is from RNAcentral.